CUCUUGAAAAGCAAUCUGGCAAUAUGAACCAAGAGCCAUGAAAAGGCUUAUGCUAUUAUAAUUAAAUGGCUGUAAUGUUGGCUGUAAAUAUGAAAUUUUCUUUCACACACCAAUGUUUUCAAGAAUGGCAUAUUCACAUGCAGUAUGUGAUGAAAGAAGCAGUAAAGGAUGCUAACAAAGCUAUUUCUUUGGACAAUCUGAACCUGACGGAGUCUUACUCUGUCGCCCAGGCAGGAGUGCAAUGGCACAAUCUUGGCUCACCACAACCUCCGCCUCCUGGGUUCAAGUGACUCUCCUGCCUGGCCAUAGAAGCAAACACAAACAUAGAGGAAUUGGCUUUGGGCAGAUGGAAGGACCUCAGAGAAAAGAAACAAAGGAAAGAAAACUGGAUGGAUAAAGGUACAAAGAAAUUUGGAGUAGAGCUGAAUUGCAUCCCCCUCAAAUUCAUAUGUUAAAAUUCUGAUCCUCAAUACCUCAGAAUGUGACUGUUUCUGAAGACAGGGCCUUUAAAGAUGUAAUUAAGGUAAAAAAGUCAUAUCGGUGGGCCCUAAUACAACAUUAAGGAUGUCCCUAUAAGAAGAGGAGAUUAGAACACAGGCAUGCACAGAGAGAUGACAUGUGGAGACACAAGGAAAAAUGACCAUCUCGUCAAGGUGAAAAGCCUUUUGAAGAAACCAACCCUGCCAAAGGUUAAAAUUCCCUGUGGAAUUUUAAGCUUCACAGAUAUGAGGAAGUAAAUUUCUGUUGCUUAAACUGC
RNAcentral lists this long non-coding RNA (757 nucleotides) under Homo sapiens (human). RNAcentral's name for it is "HSALNT0342782". Lineage: Eukaryota; Metazoa; Chordata; Mammalia; Primates; Hominidae. The record is from RNAcentral.